CAGUCGCCACGGGAAUACGUAGGUGGCAAGCGUUGUCCGGAAUUAUUGGGCGUAAAGGGCUCGCAGGCGGUUUCUUAAGUCUGAUGUGAAAGCCCCCGGCUCUACCGGGGAGGGUCAUUGGAAACUGGGAAACUUGAGUGCAGAAGAGGAGAGUGGAAUUCCACGUGUAGCAGUGAAAUGCGUAGAGAUGUGGAGGAACACCAGUGGCGAAGGCGACUCUCUGGUCUGUAACUGACGCUGAGGAGCGAAAGCGUGGGGAGCGAACAGGAUUAGAUACCCGCGUAGUCCCUGUCUCUUAUAC
Molecule: ribosomal RNA, 301 nt
Filed under: uncultured bacterium
Lineage: Bacteria
Description: partial 16S ribosomal RNA
Rfam family: Bacterial small subunit ribosomal RNA
Source: RNAcentral